Molecule: ribosomal RNA, 253 nt
Filed under: uncultured bacterium
Lineage: Bacteria
Description: partial 16S ribosomal RNA
Rfam family: Bacterial small subunit ribosomal RNA
Source: RNAcentral
UACAGAGACUGCAAGCGUUAUUCGGAUUCAUUGGGCGUAAAGGGUGCGUAGGUGGCGCUGUAAGUCGGGUGUGAAAUUUCGGAGCUUAACUCCGAAACUGCAUUCGAUACUGCGGUGCUUGAGGACUGGAGAGGAGACUGGAAUUCAUGGUGUAGCAGUGAAAUGCGUAGAGAUCAUGAGGAAGACCAGUGGCGAAGGCGGGUCUCUGGACAGUUCCUGACGCUGAGGCACGAAGGCCAGGGGAGCAAACGGG